GCCCAGAUGGCGGAACUGGUAGACGCGUCAGACUCAAAAUCUGGUAUUGGCAACAAUGUGCAGGUUCGAUUCCUGUUCUGGGCAC
This 85-nucleotide transfer RNA is filed under the name Puia dinghuensis. RNAcentral describes it as "tRNA-Leu". It matches the Rfam family "tRNA". From Rfam's summary of the family: Transfer RNA (tRNA) molecules are approximately 80 nucleotides in length. Their secondary structure includes four short double-helical elements and three loops (D, anti-codon, and T loops). Lineage: Bacteria; Pseudomonadati; Bacteroidota; Chitinophagia; Chitinophagales; Chitinophagaceae. The record is from RNAcentral.